RNAcentral lists this ribosomal RNA (253 nucleotides) under uncultured bacterium. RNAcentral describes it as "partial 16S ribosomal RNA". It matches the Rfam family "Bacterial small subunit ribosomal RNA", at positions 524 to 776 of the family's 1533-position model. The record is from RNAcentral.
UACGGAGGAUGCAAGCGUUAUCCGGAAUGAUUGGGCGUAAAGGGUCCGCAGGUGGCAGUGUAAGUCUGCUGUCAAAGAAUGAGGCUUAACCUCAUCAAGGCAGUGGAAACUACACAGCUAGAGUACGGUCGGGGUAGAAGGAAUUCCUGGUGUAGCGGUGAAAUGCGUAGAGAUCAGGAAGAACACCGGUGGCGAAAGCGUUCUGCUAGACCUGUACUGACACUGAGGGACGAAAGCUAGGGGAGCGAACAGG